This 864-nucleotide ribosomal RNA is filed under the name Staphylococcus epidermidis. RNAcentral describes it as "bacterial SSU rRNA". It matches the Rfam family "Bacterial small subunit ribosomal RNA", at positions 30 to 875 of the family's 1533-position model. The record is from RNAcentral. Lineage: Bacteria; Bacillati; Bacillota; Bacilli; Caryophanales; Staphylococcaceae.
UGAACGCUGGCGGCGUGCCUAAUACAUGCAAGUCGAGCGAACAGACGAGGAGCUUGCUCCUCUGACGUUAGCGGCGGACGGGUGAGUAACACGUGGAUAACCUACCUAUAAGACUGGGAUAACUUCGGGAAACCGGAGCUAAUACCGGAUAAUAUAUUGAACCGCAUGGUUCAAUAGUGAAAGACGGUUUUGCUGUCACUUAUAGAUGGAUCCGCGCCGCAUUAGCUAGUUGGUAAGGUAACGGCUUACCAAGGCAACGAUGCGUAGCCGACCUGAGAGGGUGAUCGGCCACACUGGAACUGAGACACGGUCCAGACUCCUACGGGAGGCAGCAGUAGGGAAUCUUCCGCAAUGGGCGAAAGCCUGACGGAGCAACGCCGCGUGAGUGAUGAAGGUCUUCGGAUCGUAAAACUCUGUUAUUAGGGAAGAACAAAUGUGUAAGUAACUAUGCACGUCUUGACGGUACCUAAUCAGAAAGCCACGGCUAACUACGUGCCAGCAGCCGCGGUAAUACGUAGGUGGCAAGCGUUAUCCGGAAUUAUUGGGCGUAAAGCGCGCGUAGGCGGUUUUUUAAGUCUGAUGUGAAAGCCCACGGCUCAACCGUGGAGGGUCAUUGGAAACUGGAAAACUUGAGUGCAGAAGAGGAAAGUGGAAUUCCAUGUGUAGCGGUGAAAUGCGCAGAGAUAUGGAGGAACACCAGUGGCGAAGGCGACUUUCUGGUCUGUAACUGACGCUGAUGUGCGAAAGCGUGGGGAUCAAACAGGAUUAGAUACCCUGGUAGUCCACGCCGUAAACGAUGAGUGCUAAGUGUUAGGGGGUUUCCGCCCCUUAGUGCUGCAGCUAACGCAUUAAGCACUCCGCCUG